Acanthopagrus latus (yellowfin seabream) is the source of this 259-nucleotide long non-coding RNA. RefSeq lists it as uncharacterized. The transcript has 3 exons. The record is from RefSeq and is a predicted model, not a curated record. NCBI's taxonomy places the organism in Eukaryota, Metazoa, Chordata, Actinopteri, Spariformes, Sparidae.
GUAACUCUUACAUGACAGCCAUGUUGCCUACCGACCUGCAUGACACACCUGCAUCUUCCGUGUGGUCACAAUUGUGCUGCUUCCACAUGUUAUGAGGACACUCCUCCAGAGAGAGCUCAUUGCCUGUACACUGCACGCCAUCCAGCCAGAUGGGACCAACACCCUGGCCAAAGCGGGCCCAGGUCCACGCCUUGGCCACUCCUCUGUCAGUCAGAACAAACAGAGUCACAACCUCGCCCAACAGUUCAACUGUCGGCAC